CAAGUAAACCGGGUGACCGCCCUGAAUUCCGGGGAGGAAAGUCCGAGCUCCACCGGGCAGGAUGCUGGGUAACGCCCAGGAGGGGUGACCCUACGGAAAGUGCCACAGAAACAUACCGCCCCGCCUAUGAGCGGAGUAAGGGUGAAAUGGCGAGGUAAGAGCUCACCGGCGGCCGGGUGACCGGUCGGCUGUGCAAACCCCAUCCGGAGCAAGACCAAAUAGAGGAACACAAGGAUGCCCGGCCUGUUCCCGGGUUGGUCGCUUGACCCUGAUGGUAACAUCAGGGCUAGAUAGAUGGUCGCCGCUCCGAUUUAUCGGAGCACAGAACUCGGCUUACAGGUUUACUUGGCCC
This 352-nucleotide RNase P RNA is filed under the name Chloroflexi bacterium RBG_16_50_9. RNAcentral describes it as "RNase P RNA component class A". It matches the Rfam family "Bacterial RNase P class A". Rfam says of the family: Ribonuclease P (RNase P) is a ubiquitous endoribonuclease, found in archaea, bacteria and eukarya as well as chloroplasts and mitochondria. Its best characterised activity is the generation of mature 5'-ends of tRNAs by cleaving the 5'-leader elements of precursor-tRNAs. Lineage: Bacteria; Bacillati; Chloroflexota. The record is from RNAcentral.